AUUGAACGCUGGCGGCAUGCCUUACACAUGCAAGUCGAACGGCAGCACGGGUGCUUGCACCUGGUGGCGAGUGGCGAACGGGUGAGUAAUACAUCGGAACAUGUCCUAUAGUGGGGGAUAGCCCGGCGAAAGCCGGAUUAAUACCGCAUACGAUCUACGGAUGAAAGCGGGGGACCUUCGGGCCUCGCGCUAUAGGGUUGGCCGAUGGCUGAUUAGCUAGUUGGUGGGGUAAAGGCCUACCAAGGCGACGAUCAGUAGAUGGUCUGAGAGGACGACCAGCCACACUGGGACUGAGACACGGCCCAGACUCCUACGGGAGGCAGCAGUGGGGAAUUUUUGACAAUGGGCGAAAGCCUGAUCCAGCAAUGCCGCGUGUGUGAAGAAGGCCUUCGGGUUGUAAAGCACUUUUGUCCGGAAAGAAAUCCUUGGCUCUAAUACAGUCGGGGGAUGACGGUACCGGAAGAAUAAGCACCGGCUAACUACGUG
This 486-nucleotide ribosomal RNA is filed under the name uncultured bacterium. RNAcentral's name for it is "partial 16S ribosomal RNA". It matches the Rfam family "Bacterial small subunit ribosomal RNA", at positions 30 to 507 of the family's 1533-position model. The record is from RNAcentral.